Long non-coding RNA from Rhineura floridana, 5005 nucleotides. RefSeq lists it as uncharacterized. The record is from RefSeq and is a predicted model, not a curated record. The transcript is spliced from 3 exons. NCBI's taxonomy places the organism in Eukaryota, Metazoa, Chordata, Lepidosauria, Squamata, Rhineuridae.
CUUAUCCUAUGUUCACAUACCAACUGCUCUGGUGGACUAUCUGAAUGUUUUUAUAUUUGUUUUAAAAUGGAUUGAUGAGACAAAGUUUUAUUGUGCCCAUGUAUCCCUUUUGCAGUGGAAAAAUGGUCAUGAGCAAUAUUCAGCAAGAACUCCAAGAGAAUCCAUAGACCAGAGACUUCCAACACUCUCAAGCUACACAGCUGAUCAUAUGAACACAUGAAACUACCUUAUACUGAAUCAGACCAUUGGUCUUUCUAGCUCACUAUUGGCAGUGAGUCUCAUACAAGUCUUUUCCCAUUACCUGCUACCUGAUCUUUUUAACUGGUGAUGCUGGGCAUUGAAGCUGGGACUCUCUACAUGUAAAAAAUGUGUUCCUCCAAUGCACUUUGGCACACUCAUUGAUACUGAGGGUUCUAAUAAGAUUAGGAUGUUUCCAUGAAACAUUACGAAGACAGAGUAAAUUGGAAUUGGAUAUUUGGAAAAUGACGGUAUGAGUGUGAACCAAGGCUACAAUAUCAAACUGCAGCAUACACAGAGGUAGUCCACACUUCAUCCCAGUAGUGUCCCAAAUUAAAUUUUCACUGGAUUUUUUUCCUUCAAGAAUGCUGCAUCAAGGAAAUGCAAAUUCUGUACCCAGUUAAGCAAAUUAAUCAUAUUUACAGAUCGUUAAAUAAUGUGAACUGGCAUGGCAACAGACAAAUUACAUCAAAAGCCAUAGAAAGAGGGUAGGCACUGGAGGUUGGGAAUAUAUUUUCAAUGAUGAGGUCAUAUGAAGGCUCCAGAGAAAAUUCCUCAUUGGAGAUGGAUAGAAAGCUGUACCAGAAAAAAAAUGCUUUGAUCAAAUCUGUUAAAAAUCGUGUCUUUGCUAAGCUUCCUAGGAUUUAAAAUUAGUAUAGCAUGAUGCAAACCACUGUGCACCCAGUACUGCUGACUAAGGCCAUUUCCUCACCUCAGUUCAACAAGGUUCUGGUAAGAAGUUAGCACAUCUUAAUGUUCAGCAGCUGUUCAGCACUACAACUUCACUCAGCAGUAAAUAAACCACUAAAUAUGAAGGGCGAAAAUGUGUAAAAAGUUGCCAUACUUCCUUUAUUUUGUUUCCUCUUUUAAUGUUUUAAAACUGUGGCAUUCCUGUUUUCACCACCACAGUUAGUCAUGCUAUGGCAUCUUAAUAACCAAAACAAACCAAUUCCUAUUCAAUUAUCCUCUUUUCUGAUGUUAUGAACAAAAAAAUAUGCUUCAAGGAGAUGGGACAAGAGAACUUCCUCUAGCUUGGCAGAUGACAUCCCUCUAGGAAGUCUAAUGUGAAUAGGCUAUUAAUAAGAAUAGGAAAACUGGUAUAGAUUCUUGGAAUUUGGUACAGUGCAGAGACAACUCAUAGGGUUCAUAGAAUCAUAAAAUUGUAAAGUUGGAAGGGGCCUAUAAAGUUGAGUCCAACCCUCUGUUCAAUGCAAGAAUCCAGACAAAGCAUACCCAACAGAUAGCUGUCCUGCUGCCUCUUGAAUGCCUCCAAGUGCUGGGAAAACCCACUACCUCUCUAGGUAAUUGGUUCCAUUGUCAUACCGCUCUAACAGUUAGGAAGUUUUUCCUGAUGUUCAGUUGAAAUCUGGCUUCCUGUAACUUGAGCCUACAUUCAGUGUCCUGCAAUCUCGGACAAUCAAGAAGAGAUCCUGGCCCUCCUCUGUGUGGCAGCCUUUCAAGUACUUGAACAGUGUUAUCAUAUCUCCCCUCAAGUCUUCUCUUCUCAUGGCUAAAUAUGCCCAGUUCUUUCAGUCUCUCCUCAUAGGGCUUUGUGUCUAGUCCCCUGAUCACCCUUAUUGCCCUCCUCUGAAUCUGUUCUAGUUUGUCUGCAUCCUUCUUAAAGUGUGUCCAGAACUGGACGCAGUACUCAAGAUGAGGCCUCAAGAGGGGAACAAAUACUUCAUGCAAUUUGGAAACUAUAGUUCUGUUAAUGCAGCCUAAAAUAGCAUUUGCCUUUUUUGGAGCCAUAUCACACUGUUGGCUCAUAGUCAGCUUGUGAUCAAUAUCAAUUCCAAGAUCCUUCUUGCAUGUAGUAUUGCUGAGCCAAGUAUCCCCCAUCUUAUAAAUGUGCAUUUGAUUUCUUUUUCCUAGAUGUAGAACUUUGCACUUACCCCUGUUAAAUUUCAUUCUGUUGUUUUCAGCCCAAUGCUCCUGCCUAUCAAGAUUCCUUUGAAUUUUGUUUCUGUCUUCCAAGGUGUUAGCUAUCCCUCUCAAUUUUGUAUGAUCUUCAAAUUUCUUUCUUUCCCAUUGGUCAGUGAUUUUUCUUUAGUUGUGUCUGGGCUAGGUUCUUUCCAUGUGUCAGUAGGAACCUUUGGCAAAUUGUAAGAAUUGAUGUCCUUAGGUAUCGUGUCCAAGGUCUUUUGUUCGACUAAACUGUUGGUUUCAUCCGCUAUAUUGUUGUUCCGAUAAGGACUCAGAGUAGGUUCAUCAUCAUAAGAAUGGUAUUGUGAACAGAUUGUCCCGCUUUCGCAAUUUCCUCUGCCAGACUAGGAGCAUUUUCGGCUAUGUAUUUAAAAUCUUCAGUGGGUAUAUAGGUAGUUGACCAGUCAUUGUUUAUAUCAGUCGUAUUAAUGACGAAGGGUUUCGGCAGAGGCUCAUUCUUAUUAGGAUCGUAGAACUGGGUGAUCCGAGGCUGGCCCUUUAAAUCUGGAGAGGAAGCAGAAGUUUGUUGUGGAGCUGGGGGCUCACAGCCAUGAGUCAAGGUUUUGUUCUUUACCUUUUUUAUUUUCUUUUCCAUUUUCUUCUGUUUACAAUUUGUCUUUUGAAGGGCUUUCCCCGCAUUUCUCGUUUGGACCAUAGUGUCUUACUCACUAAUUGGGAGAGCCCACAGCUAUACAGCUUCGUUAGCUAUGAAUAACAUGCACUCCAAAGGGAUAGAUAAAGAGGUCAGAUAUAACAGUUAUAUCCUUCAGUUGCUGUAUUCCAGUCAUGGAAGUCAUCCCACCAACUUUCAGCAGGAGCCCAGAAAUAAUAGAUUUCAGAGAACAUCAACACCUGGACCACAUUAUUACUAGUCAGAACUGGAACACAACAUGGAUUUCAUGGUAUCAAAGAUGUGCAAAUAUACUGUAAGAGGGGCAUUUGUUUACAUCACUAACUUCUAUGCCUCCCAUCAAAACAUCCAGUGGAAAUCAGCAUGGAGAAAAAAUAAUGAAUCCCAGAACAGUUGCACUAAGCCAAGGACAUAGAUGACUGGUGGACUGCAUAUCCUGCAUGUCUGAUUCGGGGGUGAGGGGGACACUUGUUGGAUAGAGCAGCCACCCAGCUUGUGUUUCAAUACAAGAGAAGAAAUACAAGAGAAAUGAGAGAGAAAGAGAUUAAGACUUUGAGGAGGAGCCUGAAACCAAAUGAAAACAAAUUCUAAUAUGGAACAGAGCAGUUGUCCCAUGUCAAGCUGAGAGGAAUUAUUGGUCACCAAGGAGGUCAACAGCCAAGGAUUUCCCCAGCACAACUUGCUGAAACCAACCCUCCAAGACGGACAAAAACCACUUUAAAAUUAUGCUUCCAAGUUCAAUCACAGUCAAGCGGUCCAAGAGGAUACCACAGUCUAUGGUAUGAAAAACUGCAGAGAGGUCCAGCAGGAUCAACAGAGGUGUGUUUCUCAUCUCCAGUUCACAGUGUAGAUUGUUCAUCAAAGCAACCAAAGCUGAUUCCAUCCUAUAACCAGGCCUGAAGCCAGACUGAAAUGGAUCUAGAUCUUUUCAGUUACAAACAUUUGAUGCUGAAAUGCUACUACACAUGAAAUGCCCAAGAAUCAAAUAUUAUAGUAUUAGACACUGGCCAGAAAUUAUCUAAUAUGGUGGGGUUCAGUGAAGGUUUGGUUUUUUAAAAAAAACAGAUCUCACCACUACUUCCUUUAGACAUGGCAGAACCACAUCUUUUAGAAAAAUGUUAAAACAAUUCAAUUAUCCACUGAACCAGCUCAGCAGUAUGUUAUAAGCCCAGGAAGGACAAGGGUCAAAAAUACAUGUGGUUGGUCUCACCUCUCAAAUGACAGAUUUCUUCCAAUGUGUGAGGAAGAUGCAUCCCUUGAAUACUGGGUGCCUGAGAAUGGUUCCCAGGUAAAUCAGAUGCUGGGAGGAAGUCAGAGAACUCUUCAGGACAUCAAUAAGAAAGCUAGUCCUCAAUGCAGUGAUUUGCAUACCCUGCCUCCACUUCCCUGCCCCAUAUUUCUUGAUGAGAUGGCCACUCUGCUAUUCUUAAUUAACCCUGAACACAAAGAGCUGAGUUUUACAAGUAGAAUCAAUUUACUAGAUUUGGGACAUUGCUCCCCUCCCAUUUUUCUAACAUGGUGGGGAAAACUACAAUGAACCAGAGCAUCCAAACCUGGACAGAUAGGGUUUGCAGUAUUACUUCUUUUCUUUCUGUGCUUUCUAAAAUUUCUCCACUAUAUCUGUGAUUACCACAUCUAAUCCACCUGAAAAACUGAAGCUGAAGCGAUACUCUCCCCACAAGAAUGGAAGGGCCUGGGAAUUGAUGGUCUGCUACGGCUGCUUACUCUCUUCAGUUGACCUUUUUUCAAGGGCUGGGGAUGACUCUGAUAUCUGGCUGCCUACUUUUGAUUUUAGUGAGAGAAAGUUCCCAUGAAGAGCUGAGCAGGGAAGAAUUGUUUUGGGACACUGUGCCCGCUUGCCUCCUGUGACCAAUAAUCUAGGAUAGAACUGGCUGCUGCUGCCCUGCAGGGGAAGACCACAUGUUAAGGAUUCUGAAAAUUGUUUCUAUUACCCUCAAACUUUAUGUCUUGGAGUAAAGCUAUCUGAUUCCGUGGGUUGUGCCUCUAUUUCCCAGUCUGGACUCUCAUGCAAUCUAGGAGUGAAUAGGGUUAAAAAUAAAGAGAUCUCCUAAGUGAAGCAGCUUCAGACUCAGAACUGCUUCCUCUUGAUAGUGGGGAGAGGCACUGAUUAGGUCUUGUCCUUACAGAAAGAAUAAAAGGUUUUGCAUAGCUCUCUGCCUCUGAGAGUAGAUGAACUAGCUCAUUAAAAGGAAG